GGCGAGUGAAGCGGCAACAGCUCAAAUUUGAAAUCUGGCCCCUAGGGUCCGAGUUGUAAUUUGCAGAGGAUGCUUUUGACAAGGUGCCUUCCGAGUUCCCUGGAACGGGACGCCAUAGAGGGUGAGAGCCCCGUCUGGUCGGAUACCGCGUCUCUGUAAAGCUCCUUCGACGAGUCGAGUAGUUUGGGAAUGCUGCUCAAAAUGGGAGGUAUAUGUCUUCUAAAGCUAAAUAUUGGCCAGAGACCGAUAGCGCACAAGUAGAGUGAUCGAAAGAUGAAAAGCACUUUGAAAAGAGGGUUAAAAAGUACGUGAAAUUGUUGAAAGGGAAGCGCCUAUGACCAGACUUGGGCCCGGUGAAUCAUCCAGCGUUCUCGCUGGUGCACUUUGCCGGGCACAGGCCAGCAUCAGUUUGGCUUGGGGGAAAAAGGCUUUGGGAAUGUAGCUCCUCGGAGUGUUAUAGACCUUUGCAUAAUACCCUGGGCCGGACUGAGGUUCGCGCAUCUGCAAGGAUGCUGGCGUAAUGGUCAUCAGCGA
This 534-nucleotide ribosomal RNA is filed under the name Hypocreales sp. RNAcentral's name for it is "LSU rRNA". It matches the Rfam family "Eukaryotic large subunit ribosomal RNA", at positions 88 to 647 of the family's 3401-position model. The record is from RNAcentral. Lineage: Eukaryota; Fungi; Ascomycota; Sordariomycetes; Hypocreales.